RNAcentral lists this long non-coding RNA (2597 nucleotides) under Mytilus galloprovincialis (Mediterranean mussel). The record is from RNAcentral. Lineage: Eukaryota; Metazoa; Mollusca; Bivalvia; Mytilida; Mytilidae.
GUCAUUGUUUGAAAUAAAUUUUCCAAUAUAACAUCCACAGAAUACCUGAUAUAAAGCUUUAACAGUUACAGUAAUAUUAUUAGAUAUUUAUAUACAACAUUAAUUUGUUAAAAUGUGUCUUAAUACAAUAACAUAAAUACAAUAUAUAAUAUACAUCAAUGAAAAACAAUUUCAACUUAUUCAAAACACACACGUUUGUUUAGAAAUCUUAUAAACUUACUUAAACUUAUAAGAUCUGUACUGGUUGGUGAAGACGUAAUUUUUUUAUGUUUCCCUUCUAAAAAUUUGAACAAUAUAUAAUGUCAUGAAAUGCAUCUUCAAUGUCUAGAUUACAUAAACAACACUUUCCACUCUCCCGUUCUAUAUAAAAAAAACUAAAAUCACAAAAAUACUGAACUCCGAGGAAAAUUCAAAACGGAAAGUCCCUAAUCAAAUGGCAAAAUCAAAGGAUAAAACAUAUUCAAAAUUCAACUUGAAGUUAAUGGUAACAUAUUCUUAAUUUAAAAAAAAAUUUCAAAAGGCUGUUAUGCCUAAAAUAAUAAAAUAUUCUUCAAGUUAAAAUAUAUUAAAUAUAUAUAUACGAUAGUUUAAGGCUUUCAAACAGUUUUGAAUAGUCGCAAAGCAUUUAUAAUGUUGCAUGAAUGAAUUUCACAUCAACAACGGUACAAAACAUCUCAGAACUGAAUUGUGAUUCAUCUAGGAUUAUCAAGGGUCAACAUGUUUAUCAAAAUAAAGCUGCCAGUGAAAAAAAAAUAUAACCCUCUGCAUUUGAAAGGUUAAAGGAGCUUUACUUGUAAAAUCAAAGCAGAUUUUUAAGCGACAUCGGCGUUUUAAUUUCAAGUGUAUGUCGUCACUUCGUUUUUCAUCUUUAAUAAAAAAAAAUACAGAAUAAUAAUAAGGAAUCAAUGGUACUGAUAUUAAAUACAUUGACUAACAGCUGGGUUGCGUUCAAUAUCGUAGCGGCUACGUAGUGCUACGUAGAUUUUUGUCUACUGAACGAGUAGCUAGCCUAGCUGCUAUCAAUAUCUUAUGUAGCAGCUAGGCUAGCUACACGUUCAAUAGUCAUAAAUCUACGAAGCCCUAUUUAGAUCUAUGUAACCGCUACGAUAUUUAAUACAAACCUGGUUUGCGUUCAAUAUCGUAGCGGCUAUGUAGUGCUACGUAGAUUUAUGACUAUUGAAAGAGUACCUAGCCUAGCUGCUACCAACAUCUAUGUAGCAGCUAGGCUAGCUUCGCGUUCAAUAGUCAUAAAUCUAUGUAGCCGCUACGAUCUUGAACUCAACCCUGAUUUACCAGGGUCGAGUUCAAUAUCGUAGCUGCUACGUAGUGCUACGUAGAUUUUGACUAUUGAACGUGUAGCUAUAGACUAGUUGUUACAUAGAUAUUGGUAGCUGCUACGAUAUCGAACUCAACCCUGUGCUGUUUACGAUGAAUCGGCAGUGACACGUGAUUCAAAAAUGGUUUUCGAUUUAAUACCAUAUUGCAACAUGUUGAAAAUGAUAAUUAACAUUAAAAUAACACAGUUCGUUUUUUUUUAUGAAAAGUAUGCUGCAAAUUCAUUUUUUUUGUAAUAUCAGAUUACUUUUUAAAUUAUCUCGUUCCUCCUUUUUAGCUCACCUGACCUAAAAGGCCAAGUGAGCUUUUCUCAUCACUUGGCGUCCGGCGUCCGGCGUCCGUCGUCCGUCGUCCGUCGUCGUCGUUAACUUUUACAAAAAUCUUCUCCUCUGAAACUACUUGGCCAAAUUAAUCCAAACUUGGCCACAAUCAUUUUUUGGGUUAGUAGUUUGAAAAAUGUGGCCGGUGAGCCGGCCAUCAAACCAAGAUGGCCGCCAUGGCUUAAAAUAGAACAUGAGGUAAAAUGCAGUUUUUGGCUUAUAACUCAAAACCCCAAGCAUUUAGAGCAAAUCUGACGCGUGCGGUAAAAUUGUUUAUCAGUUCAAGAUCUAUCUGCCCUGAAAUUUUCAGAUGAAUCGGACAACCCGUUGUUGGGUUGCUGGCCCUGAAUUAGUAAUUUUAAGGAAAUUUUGCUCGUUUUGGUUAUUAUCUUGAAUAUUAUUAUAGAUAAAGAUAAACUAUAAACAGCAAUAAUGUUCAGCAAAGUAAGAUUUACAAAUAAGUCAACAUGACUGAAAUGGUCAGUUGACCCCUUUAGGAGUUAUUGCCCUUUAUAGUCAUUUUUUAACCAUUUUUCGUAAAUCUUAGUAAUCUUUUACAAAAAUCUUCUCCUCUGAAACUACUUGGCCAAAUUAAUCCAAACUGGCCACAAUCAUCUUUUGGGUUAGUAGUUUGAAAAAUGUGUCCGGUGACCGGCCAUCCAACCAAGAUGGCCGCAUGGCUAAAAUAGAACAUGGGGUAAAAUGCAGUUUUUGGCUUAUAACUCAAAACCCAAAGCAUUUAGAGCAAAUCUGACAUGGGGUAUGUAAAAUUGUUUAUCAGGUCAACAUUUAUCUGCUCAGAAAUUUUUAGAUGAAUUGGACAACCCGUUGUUGGGUUGCUGCUGACCCUGAAUUGUUAGUUUUAAGGAAAUUUUGCUGUUUUUGGUCAUUAUCUUGAAUAUUAUUAUUGAUAGAGAUAAACUGUAAACAACAAUAAUGUUC